Molecule: RNA transcript, 877 nt
Organism: Xenopus laevis (African clawed frog)
Lineage: Eukaryota; Metazoa; Chordata; Amphibia; Anura; Pipidae
Gene: rrp15.S
Gene name: ribosomal RNA processing 15 homolog S homeolog
Exons: 6
Source: RefSeq, marked provisional
GAAGAAUGACGCAGUAAGCAUUCAUUGAUGUGACACUAGACGGAAAUGACGUAGCCCACCAGCUCCGCCCAACCCGGAAGGACCUGGCAAAUAGCACGUGGGUCGCAUAACCAUGGAAGUUGUUGGCGAGAUGGAGCCUGUGGAAUAUGAAGGCUCAGAUCUGAGCUCGGAGGUGUCUGAUGGUGGCUCUUCUUCCGAUGGAAAUGACGAAAGUGAUCAUGAGGAUGAGGUCACAAAGGAUGACCAGGAAUUCUUUGAGGAUGAAAAUGCCAACAAAGGCUGGGCCGAUGCCAUGGCUAAGAUCCUUAACAAGAAGGUGUCCGAGAGGAAGGCAACGGCCAUAUUGGUGAAAAGCAAAGCCCUUGAGAAGGAGAAGCUGGAGAAGCAGGAAAAGAAGAAGCAGUUUGAUACAAAACGGCAGUGGGAAAUGAUGUGCAGAGUGAAGCCAGAUGUGGUCAAAGACAAAGAAACGGAGAGAAAUAUGCAGAGAAUUGCUACGAGGGGGGUCGUACAGUUGUUCAAUGCUGUCAGAACCCACCAGAGUAACGUGAACGACAAACUGAAAGAUGCUGGGCGCUCUGAAAGAAAACGUAGUAAACUAAUGUCCUCAGUCUCCAAAAGAGACUUUAUUGAUGUUCUUAGAGGGAAAGAAAGUAAAGGCGAGCAGACGACUGCAAUGAAGAAGGGCGUUAAAAAGGUGCAGUUUAAUCGCAUUCAUCCCGUGUCUCGCAGUAUCUAACAUGAGCCAUAGAAGAAUUGAUUCCAGAUGUCAGGGAGCGACCGUAUCGCUCUCCCCGGCCACAGCAAACUCCAGAGAUUCCACUUCGGAUAAGGGGAGGUCACUGUAAAAGCAGAAAACGAGCCGGGGUGGAACAUC